AGUGCUGCUUCUCAAAUCACAGCAGCCUGGACAUGUGAAGUACAUGGUCGUUAGCGUAACCGCGUCAGCAUCUCAGGUGACUGAGAUUUACUUUUCCUGCUGCUCACAACCUGGAAGCAGUACUUAGUUGUACAAGCUGCUGCGCAAAGGAUGUGCUUCCACGGAGAGAUGCAGAUCUUGGAGUACAGCAAAGGACAUCCAGCAAACAGCAGACAUCCAAAACCUUAAAAGUGCCUGGCGUGCAUUACAAUGUACCAGUUGUGUUUUCCACCUUCCUAAGGCCUUCCUGACAUCCAGCAAACAUGACCCAUAACUUUGAAAACACCUAGGAUGUGCAAGACUGUAUCGGUUAUGUGCCCCUGAGUACUAACAGUGUAAAGGGGGCUAGAAGACUGGGUUGCUGCCUGCCUGCUUGCCUGCCUCCCUGCCAGCUGCUCUGCCUGUGUAUCAGGUCCCCUACUUCAGCAUUAAAUCAUGUCAGAUAUA
Molecule: long non-coding RNA, 486 nt
Organism: Talpa occidentalis (Iberian mole)
Lineage: Eukaryota; Metazoa; Chordata; Mammalia; Eulipotyphla; Talpidae
Exons: 3
Source: RefSeq, a predicted model, not a curated record